This 497-nucleotide ribosomal RNA is filed under the name uncultured bacterium. Its description in RNAcentral is "partial 16S ribosomal RNA". It matches the Rfam family "Bacterial small subunit ribosomal RNA", at positions 28 to 507 of the family's 1533-position model. The record is from RNAcentral.
GAUGAACGCUGGCGGCGUGCCUAAUACAUGCAAGUCGAGCGAACAGAUAAGGAGCUUGCUCCUUUGACGUUAGCGGCGGACGGGUGAGUAACACGUGGGUAACCUACCUAUAAGACUGGGAUAACUUCGGGAAACCGGAGCUAAUACCGGAUAAUAUUUCGAGCCGCAUGGUUCGAUAGUGAAAGAUGGUUUUGCUAUCACUUAUAGAUGGACCCGCGCCGUAUUAGCUAGUUGGUAAGGUAACGGCUUACCAAGGCGACGAUACGUAGCCGACCUGAGAGGGUGAUCGGCCACACUGGAACUGAGACACGGUCCAGACUCCUACGGGAGGCAGCAGUAGGGAAUCUUCCGCAAUGGGCGAAAGCCUGACGGAGCAACGCCGCGUGAGUGAUGAAGGUCUUCGGAUCGUAAAACUCUGUUAUUAGGGAAGAACAUACGUGUAAGUAACUGUGCACGUCUUGACGGUACCUAAUCAGAAAGCCACGGCUAACUACGUG